This 265-nucleotide unclassified non-coding RNA is filed under the name Hevea brasiliensis (rubber tree). The record is from RNAcentral. Lineage: Eukaryota; Viridiplantae; Streptophyta; Magnoliopsida; Malpighiales; Euphorbiaceae.
UCCCUGCCACAUUCCUUCUAAAGUUCAACGGGGGCCAGAGUAAGACUGUCCUGGAUUGUAAUUUCCACCAUAACCGGGUCCUGAAUUACCACUGUAACUGGAAUCCGAUGUCUGUGUGUGUUCUCCACUUGAAGCAGGAUCCAACCCUUGACCUUGACCUCCAGAAAAAUUCUGUUGUCCUUGGGGGGCAUAAUCCAACCCUUGACCUUGGCCUCCAGAAAAAUUCUGUUGUCCUUGGGGGGCAUAAUCCAACCCUUGACCUUGG